UACAGAGGGUGCGAGCGUUGUCCGGAAUCACUGGGCGUAAAGGGCGCGUAGGUGGCCUGAUAAGUAGGGGGUGAAAUCUCGAGGCUCAACUUCGAGGCUGCCUCCUAAACUGUCAGGCUUGAGCAGAGUAGAGGCAGGUGGAAUUCCCGGUGUAGCGGUGGAAUGCGUAGAGAUCGGGAGGAACACCUGUGGCGAAGGCGGCUUUCUGGGCCUUACCUGACGCUGAGACGCGAAAGCGUGGGGAGCGAACCGG
This 253-nucleotide ribosomal RNA is filed under the name uncultured bacterium. RNAcentral's name for it is "partial 16S ribosomal RNA". It matches the Rfam family "Bacterial small subunit ribosomal RNA", at positions 524 to 776 of the family's 1533-position model. The record is from RNAcentral.